RNAcentral lists this unclassified non-coding RNA (360 nucleotides) under Hevea brasiliensis (rubber tree). Lineage: Eukaryota; Viridiplantae; Streptophyta; Magnoliopsida; Malpighiales; Euphorbiaceae. The record is from RNAcentral.
GCUCGAUAAGAUCACUAUGACCUUGCACACAGGCGCUAGCCUCCUUCUUAAUUAUCUCGUUCUCUUUCGCCUUGAGUUUUUCUGAAAAUUUACACAGAUCAGCAGCCCGGCUCACCUUGGCAUCUUCCAGCUCCUUCUGCAACCGAGUUACAUGCUCCUCAGAAGAUCGCACUUGCUCUUCCAAGUCAUGCACCCUGGCAACUGCUACGUUCAAACUAUUUUUAUAGGCUACAGCUUCGCUGACCGCCUUAGACAUCUCCCUCCUAAUGAAGUUCACCUUCUCUUUCAUCGUGUGUUGAGUGGCAACUGCUUCCAAGAUCAAGCUCAUAAAUUGAUUUAGGAGAUAAUCAAUACUCUCCA